Long non-coding RNA from Zalophus californianus (California sea lion), 1402 nucleotides. RefSeq lists it as uncharacterized. The transcript has 3 exons. Lineage: Eukaryota; Metazoa; Chordata; Mammalia; Carnivora; Otariidae. The record is from RefSeq and is a predicted model, not a curated record.
UGUAGCUGAGCCCGGCCAGGGCAAUGUGCAGUCGCAGGCUUCCACGGUCCUCGGACUCCGACAGUGGAAAUGUGGGGGCAGCGAGGGCAUGGCACCUGGAGGAAUGCUCAUCCUCCUUGACUUCUCAGCUUUGAAUUUUGUAGCCCGCACACAAGAGGGUAUGAUGAACGUUCCAGCUGAGCUGGUGGACUGACUGAUCGGAAUCUUGCGCAGGACUCUAGGGAAUAUGGAUCGAGGCAUUCAGGAGCCUCACAACAGCCCCUGGGACACUGGACACACAGAUUGUUGGUCCCUAUGAUCUCAUGUGGUUGGGAGCGUGAUGACCCAUGACAGACAGACUUUCUUGGGACUUGUGCCCUGGGACAUUCUGUGCUCCCACUCUGGCUCGAUGAUGGCUUGACACAGUUCCCUCGGCCCACCCCUUCAUUGGAUUCUAUGUUCUUGCUCUCAGGCAGACAAAUCUGACAAAUAUUUAGACAGAGUGGAUAUAAAAAGUGCUUUCAGCAGCUACCACUUCCUUUCAAGAACUGUUCAGUGAAAAGAAAAUAUAUAUGAAUAGGUCCCCUUACACUGAACUCAACAGGCGCCGGACUUGGGCCUCUCGAUGACAAGGCGGACAGCCUCCCCUUGCGCCAGACUCCGUCCACGAGUUGUAAAACACAGGCUUGGAGGGGCCGCACUCGUAGAUGGGGUGGAAGCCUAUGAGGUGGGGGAGCAGGCUGGGGGUGAGGGGAGACCUGGAGGGUGUACCUCGCUUAGCCUCAAGACAAUGAGCUCUCACCCUGGAGGGAAGGGCAUGCUGCUUGGAGCGUGUCAGUGUAGAUACUGAACCAGCAACUUGUGAAUAAAAGAUCAAUCCAGUUAUGGAAAUAAGGAUGGGGCCAUGUUCUCAGAGCCUAAAGUAAUCGAAGGUGGGCCUAACAGAAAGCGGGAAGUCACCUUAAAAGAAGUGCAGUGUUCUCUGUCUCUUUUUCUAUCUUUUUGAUUGCUUUUCAGGAGGCGGUUAUCCUGGCAUUUAGGAAGUAGGGGUGAACAGGUGGAAGAGGUAAAAUGGGUCAGCGAGGGGAAUUCUGAUAAGCCACAUGUGAAUUUAAAAGCUACCAUAUGACCCCACUGGUAAGAUCUUUUAGAGACUCUCAACACUGAAAAGAUUAUGUCCUUCUGCCCAUGAAAUUCCGGAUAAAGGCAACAUUAAACCAUGAAGUAAUUAGGAGGAAGUUCGACCAAGUUUUGCUUUUUUCCCCAUGAAGAUUAUUGUGAUUUUUAAAAACACACGAAAAUUGAGUUCUUUUCAAAAGCAUUGCUCUAGGGAGUUCAAACCCCGCAUGGGGCUCCCUGCUCCGCAGGAAGCCUGCUUCUCCCUCUCCCACUCCCCCUGCUUGUGUUCCCUCUCUCGCUGUCU